UACGGAGGAUCCGAGCGUUAUCCGGAUUUAUUGGGUUUAAAGGGUGCGUAGGCGGAAAUGUAAGUCAGUGGUGAAAUCCUGCAGCUUAACUGUAGAGUAGCCGUUGAAACUGUGUUUCUUGAGUACAUUUGAGGUAGGCGGAAUGUGGUGUGUAGCGGUGAAAUGCAUAGAUAUACCACAGAACACCGAUUGCGAAGGCAGCUUACUAAACUGUCACUGACGCUGAUGCACGAAAGCGUGGGUAUCAAACAGGAUUAGA
Molecule: ribosomal RNA, 259 nt
Filed under: uncultured prokaryote
Description: partial 16S ribosomal RNA
Rfam family: Bacterial small subunit ribosomal RNA
Source: RNAcentral